This 497-nucleotide ribosomal RNA is filed under the name uncultured bacterium. RNAcentral's name for it is "partial 16S ribosomal RNA". It matches the Rfam family "Bacterial small subunit ribosomal RNA", at positions 28 to 507 of the family's 1533-position model. The record is from RNAcentral.
GAUGAACGCUGGCGGCGUGCCUAAUACAUGCAAGUCGAGCGAACAGACGAGGAGCUUGCUCCUCUGACGUUAGCGGCGGACGGGUGAGUAACACGUGGAUAACCUACCUAUAAGACUGGGAUAACUUCGGGAAACCGGAGCUAAUACCGGAUAAUAUAUUGAACCGCAUGGUUCAAUAGUGAAAGACGGUUUUGCUGUCACUUAUAGAUGGAUCCGCGCCGCAUUAGCUAGUUGGUAGGGUAACGGCUUACCAAGGCGACGAUGCGUAGCCGACCCGGGAGGGUGAUCGGCCACACUGGAACUGAGACACGGUCCAGACUCCUACGGGAGGCAGCAGUAGGGAAUCGUCCGCAAUGGGCGAAAGCCUGACGGAGCAACGCCGCGUGAGUGAUGAAGGUCUUCGGAUCGUAAAACUCUGUUAUUAGGGAAGAACAAAUGUGUAAGUAACUAUGCACGUCUUGACGGUACCUAAUCAGAAAGCCACGGCUAACUACGUG